UACGUAGGGGGCUAGCGUUGUCCGGAAUCAUUGGGCGUAAAGGGCGCGUAGGCGGCCUGCUAAGUCGGAUGUGAAAUCCCUCGGCUCAACCGAGGAACUGCAUCCGAUACUGGCGGGCUUGAAUCCGGAAGAGGCGAGUGGAAUUCCUGGUGUAGCGGUGGAAUGCGCAGAUAUCAGGAGGAACACCAACGGCGAAGGCAGCUCGCUGGGACGGUACUGACGCUGAGGCGCGAAAGCGUGGGGAGCGAACAGG
Molecule: ribosomal RNA, 253 nt
Filed under: uncultured bacterium
Lineage: Bacteria
Description: partial 16S ribosomal RNA
Rfam family: Bacterial small subunit ribosomal RNA
Source: RNAcentral